RNAcentral lists this non-coding RNA (230 nucleotides) under Caldisalinibacter kiritimatiensis. Its description in RNAcentral is "T-box sequence". It matches the Rfam family "T-box leader". From Rfam's summary of the family: Uncharged tRNA acts as the effector for transcription antitermination of genes in the T-box leader family. Lineage: Bacteria; Bacillati; Bacillota; Tissierellia; Tissierellales; Thermohalobacteraceae. The record is from RNAcentral.
AUUAAUUCUAUGAAGAGGAGAGUAGGAUAAACUAGAGGUAAUAGCGAAUCGGGGAUGGUGGAAGCUCGAUACCAAGGUUUAUCUGAAGCGCACCUCGGAGAAGCUAUCUGAAAUUUAGUAGGAAUAGUCGUAUUCCCUGCGUUAUAGGGACAAGAGAGGGUAUAUUAACUCAUUUGUAGAGUUAGUAUAUCAAUAAGAGUGGUAACACGGGAAUAACUCUCGUCUCUUAA